UCUCCUCCUCCUCCUCCUCACACCACGGAGCUCCAUUGCGACCAACAGGUGCACACACGCUCUUCCUUAUCUUAGCUUAGAUUCCGUCUCUGCUGGGAGGCCUCUGGCCGCCCGGGCUGCGCAGGCGCGGCGGAGGAGGCCGCACUUUGUGCUCCUGGAUCUGGCAGCCGGACCUAGAGUCAACCAACUAUCUCCUGAUGUGAUUGUCAAGUUUCAUCUUUGGAUGAGAGCUGUGUCCCCCGUGCUUGUUGAUGCCAAAUCGCUAACCCGUGGUCAAUCUUUCCUGUCAGUUGCGCACGCUGCUCGGCCCCCAACCUAUUCUGCUUGACUGACUGAACAGUUGUUUUGUCACCAGGACAAAUGGCGGAGGCGGUGCUCGUUGCUCUCGGAAAGAUUGGGAAUGUCUUAGCUGAUGAAGCUACCAAGGCUUUGCUGGCCAAGCUGUCAGAAAAAGUUAGUAAUCUGAUUGAUCUGGAUGACAAGAUUGAGGGAAUAGCGAAGCAAUUAAAUACAAUGAAGAACGUCAUACAGCAGAUAGGCACGCCGUACCUAGCCGACAAAGUCGUAAAGGGUUGGAUUGGGGAGGUGAGGAAGUUGGCCUACCAUGUUGAGGAUGUGAUGGACAAAUACUCAUAUCACUCUCUUCAUGUGGAAAAAGGGUUUCUGAAGAAGUGCCUCAAAGGAUCACAUUAUGUCCGGGUUUUUAGUCAAAUUGCCGAUGAGGUAGUCAAGAUAGAGAAGGAGAUAAAGCAAGUUAUCGGACUCAAGGAGCAAUGGCUGCAACCAUCCCAGCUUGUUCAUGACCCGUGCACUGAGAUGGAAAGACAACGGUCCCAAGAUAUCUUCCCUGAACUUGUGAAAGAUGAAGAUCUUAUUGGAAUUGAAGAUAACAGGAGAAUGAUGACUGAAUGGUUGUACUCGGAUGAGAUGGAGACUACGGUGAUAACGGUGUCGGGUAUGGGUGGGUUGGGAAAAACAACCCUCGUCACAAAUGUGUAUGAACGUGAAAAGAUCAACUUCCAAACAAGUGCGUGGAUGGUUGUGUCUCAGACCUACAGUUUGGAUGCUCUGUUGAGGAAGUUACUCGAGAAGGUUACCGAACAACCAUCAUCACCUAACAUUGACAGGAUGGAUGUGCAUGACUUGAAGGAAGAAAUAAAGCGAAAGCUUAAAGAUAGGAAAUGUUUAAUUGUAUUGGAUGAUGUCUGGAACAAGGAAGUGUACUCUCAAAUGCGAGAUGCAUUCCAGAAUUCUCAUGCAAGUCGCAUCAUCAUCACAACGCGGAACAAUCAUGUUGCUGCUGUUGCUCACUUGACACGCCGUAUCGUUCUCAAGCCUUUGGGGAAUGCUCACGCAUUCGAACUCUUCUGCAGGAGGGUCUUUUAUAUCAAGAAGGACCAUGAGUAUGAGUGUCCCAAUCAUCUCAUGAAAACUGCUAGGUCUAUAGUUGAUAGAUGUCAGGGUCUGCCACUAGCAAUUUUAUCAAUAGGUGGUGUUUUGUCUUCGAGGCCACAAACACAAUACUCUUGGGAGCAGAUAUACAAUCAACUCUCAACUGAGCUGUCGAAGAAUGAUCAUCUCCGGGCAGUUUUAAAUCUGAGCUACCAUGACCUAUCUGGAGACCUCAGAAACUGCCUUUUGUAUUGCAGCCUUUUCCCGGAAGACUACCCGAUGUCACGUGAGAGCCUUGUGAGGCUGUGGGUUGCAGAAGGCUUUGUGUGUAGCAAAGGAAAUAGCACCCCGGAGGAGGUGGCCGAGGGAAACCUGACGGAACUGAUAUACCGCAAUAUGCUUGAAGUCAAGGAGACAGAUGAACUGGGAAGGGUGAGCACCUGUACGAUGCAUGAUAUUGUGCGAGACCUGGCUCUUUGUGUUGCAAGCGAGGAGCAGUUUGUAUGUGCAAAUGAUUAUGCCACAUUGAUACAUAUGAAUAAGGAUGUUCGUCGUCUGUCAUCAUGUGGAUGGAAAGGCAAUACUGCACUGAAAAUUAAGCUUCCCCGUCUUCGAACUCUAGUGUCAGUAGGAGCAAUUUCAUCCAUGCCUGCCAUGCCGUUCUCAGUUUCGUCAGAAUCCAGCUACCUGACUGUCCUCGAGCUACAAGACUCUGAAAUCACUGAAGUGCCGGCAUGGAUAGGUACACUCUUCAAUUUACAUUACAUUGGCUUACGCCGCACCAAGGUGAGGUCACUCCCAGACUCUGUUGAGAAACUAUCGAACCUGCAAACUCUGGACAUCAAGCAAACUAACAUAGAGACCCUACCAAGAGGGAUUGCUAAGAUCAAGAAUCUACGGCACCUCUUAGCUGAUAGAUAUGCUGAUGAGAAGCAGACGGAGUUUCGAUACUUUGUCGGAAUUCAAGCACCGAAAGAACUGCCCAACAUUGAAGGGCUGCAGACUCUUGAGACCAUCCAAGCCAACAAAGACUUGGCUGAGCAGCUGGAGAGAAUGGUGCAAUUGCGAACUCUGUGGAUUGACAACAUAAGUUCUGCUGAAUGCGCAACUAUUUUUGCUGCCCUGUCAAAUAUGCCGCUUCUUUCCAGUCUGCUUCUUGCUGGAAGAGAUGAGAACGAGGCACUUUGUUUCGAGUCCCUCCAGCCAAUGUCCACACAUCUCCACAAGCUGAUCAUCAGAGGGAAAUGGGCCAAGGGAACGCUGGAGUGCCCGAUAUUCCGCAGCCACGGAGAAAAUCUCAAGUAUCUAGCUCUAAGCUGGUGUCACCUUUGGGAAGACGAGGAUCCACUGGGGAUGCUUGCACCACACUUGCCAAACCUCACAUAUCUGCGGCUCAACAACAUGCGCAGUGCAAACAUUUUGGUUCUUUCUGCAGAUUCCUUCCCUCACCUGAAGAGCCUUACACUGAAGCACAUGCAUAAUGUCAACGAGCUAAAGAUCAUCGAUGGCGCCCUUCCGAGCAUCGAAGGUUUGUAUGUCGUGUCAUUGUCGAAGCUGGAUAAGGUCCCUCAAGGCAUUGAAUCCCUUAGUUCCCUGAAGAAGCUCUGGCUGCUGGGCUUGCACGGGGGCUUCAAAGCUCAGUGGGACAAGAACGGAAUGCAGCAGAAGAUGGUGCAUGUUCAGGAGCUUCGUGUCUGAAUGUGGCACAGCGGUUCUUUCUGCAGUGGCUUUAAUCAUUCUGGUAUGUUAUAAUUAUUAAGACAUCAUUUGCGAGCCUUGUACUUCUAUAUCGUGAUACGAUUUCUGUUUUCAGGAGGCCCUGUAUUUCAGUUUGAUGCUGUAAUACUGAUUUCAGGAAACAGUUGUGUCGAACAUGUGAGAAAACAAUGUUGUGGAAUUUGUUUACCUUGUUGUUAGUAGAUACCGCCCGAUCUAUGUUUCUGCUGCAUCCUGGUUGUCGUUCUCGAAGAGGCACAUCCUCGACCGAUACUGAUUUCCGUGUCCAAGUGAAGCCCCUGCUCGAGUUGAGAGUCCGAGAGGCGGGAUUUUGUAGGAGCUCAACUCAAAAACUGCUGUGUUUUAUGUGAAGAAAAUGUUUUUUUUAGUAGCAGUUGUUUUAAUUCCGGUUUAGGCCGCUGCCUGGAGUUUGUACAGCUUUACUGAUCCUUCAUAGGUUGUACCCUGUACAUCAGUAGCACAAAUGCCAAGCCUGAUCACCGAGUCUGGAGUUAAGCUCUGGUCAGGGGAAAAAAAUGCCCUUUAAUUUCUUAGUCCUCUCAGGUUGACUGGGGAGCUGUUCUUUGACGUAAUGCCCAUGAAAAAGAGUUUCAUAAAUUUUAUUCGCCAUGGCAACACAAAAGAGCCGCUUCGGUGCAUCCUCUAAUCGAAUCAACGGUGGAGAGUAAAACAUACGCCUAGAUAUCUUAGGUACACUGCCGAUGUGCAUGUAGGAUUAUUAGACACUUGUAAGCACAAGAUUAUCUCACCACCCGUCCAUGUGCUUCAACAGUCGGAUUUGAUGGACACACGUGGUUUGGUCACUCGUUGCUGUCAAAAAAGUAAUGAGAGUUGGGGACCGUUUGAGCAGGCAGGAUGAGCGAUAAGCUAACCUGUCAUGGCCACAAAGGCACAUAUCAUCAGUACAGAUACAGACAGGCCGCUGCCAUGGCCUUCUUCUUCGUCUUGCUCCUCGCCGCCCAUGGCGCGGCCCCUGCUCUUGGCUUCACGCGGAGCGACUUCCCGCCGGACUUCGUCUUCGGCGCCGCCACCUCCGCGUACCAGUAUGAGGGCGCCGUGGCUGAGGACGGCAGGAGCCCAAGCAUCUGGGACACCUUCACUCACAUUGGGAAAAUGGCGGACAAAAGCACAGGGGACGUCGCUUCUGACGGGUACCACAAGUACAAGGAUGAUGUCAAGCUCAUGGCUGACACUAACCUGGAGGCUUACAGAUUCUCCAUCUCCUGGCCAAGGCUUAUUCCAAAUGGGAGGGGAGCUGUCAAUCCAAAGGGGUUAGAGUACUACAACAACCUUAUAAAUGAGCUGGUGAAACAUGGGAUUCAAAUCCAUGUGAUGCUUUACCAUCUCGAUUUCCCGCAAGUUUUGGAUGAUGAAUAUGGAGGAUGGUUAAGCCCUUGAGUUGUGGAGGAUUUCACGGCAUUUGCAGAUGUAUGCUUUAGAGAGUUUGGAGACAGGGUUUCCUUUUGGACUACGAUCAGCGAACCUAAUGUCGUCCCAGCCGACUCUUACGGUAGUGGAAAAUUUCCACCCGGGCGUUGCUCUGAUCCUUUUGGGCGAACAAAAUGUACCGCGGGGAACUCAACCGUGGAACCGUACAUAGCAGCUCAUAACAUGAUACUGGCACAUGCAUCUGUUACUAGACUUUACAGAGAAAAAUAUCGAGCCGUGCAAAUGGGAGUUGUUGGCAUAAAUGUUUACUCCCAUUGGACUUAUCCUUUGACGAACUCUACUCUUGAUUUAGCAGCAAACAAAAGAUAUCAGGACUUCCUGUUCGGUUUGAUACUAGAACCCUUGGUGUUCGGAGAUUACCCCCGAGUGAUAAAGACGAAUGCUGGUUCCCGCCUUCCAUCCUUCACAAAACUACAAUCUGAAUUUGUCAAGGGUGCUAUUGAUUUCAUAGGAAUAAAUCACUACUAUUCUGUCUAUGCGAGCGAUCGUCCUCUAAAGAAUGGUGUUCGCGACUAUGCAGCAGACAUGUCAGUUUACAAGAGAGCUUCUAGAACAGACCCGGCAGUAAGUGAGGAUGUGCCAACAGCAUUUCCAGAUGACCCAAAAGGAUUACAAUUUGUGUUGCAGUACCUGGCAAAAGUCUAUGGUGACCUGCCCAUUUAUGUCCAAGAGAAUGGUAAGGCAUCUACCAACGACACUCUCGAUGACACUGACAGGGUCAAAUACUUGAAGAGCUACAUAGGGAGCACACUGGCGGCAUUAAGAACCGGAGUCAAUGUGAAAGGUUACUUUGCGUGGAACUUCAUGGACAUGUUCGAGUUCCUCGCAGGGUACAAUACACGGUACGGCCUGUACCGUGUCGACUUCGACGAUGAGGCGCGGCCAAGGGAGGCCAGGCUCUCUGCUUGCUGGUACUCCAGCUUUCUGGAAAACAAUGGCAUCCAUUUUCGGAGCGAGCUCGAUAAUAAAGGAUCCCAUGCUCAACAGUGAGUUAUAUAAUCAGAUAAAUUGAGCUGUUCAUUAAUCUAGUCCCAUGCAUGGGGAAACACUGGAUUCAUCUGGGUGAAAGGAAUUGGUGUAAGUAAAUAAUUUGCUUUUUCUAUAUGUAUGAUGGGAGUUAAUUGCAG
RNAcentral lists this ribosomal RNA (5705 nucleotides) under Triticum aestivum (bread wheat). RNAcentral describes it as "partial small subunit ribosomal RNA". Lineage: Eukaryota; Viridiplantae; Streptophyta; Magnoliopsida; Poales; Poaceae. The record is from RNAcentral.